UGGAGAUGCUGGGUAUAGAUCCCAGUACCUCUCGCAUGCUAAGCGAGCGCUCUACCAUCUGAACUAUAUAUCCCC
This 75-nucleotide transfer RNA is filed under the name Cordylochernes scorpioides. RNAcentral's name for it is "tRNA-Ala". Lineage: Eukaryota; Metazoa; Arthropoda; Arachnida; Pseudoscorpiones; Chernetidae. The record is from RNAcentral.